AACGAACGCUGGCGGCAUGCCUAACACAUGCAAGUCGAACGAGACCUUCGGGUCUAGUGGCGCACGGGUGCGUAACCCGUGGGAACCUGCCCUUAGGUUCGGAAUAACUCUCCGACAGGGGUGCCAAUACCGAAUAAUGUCUUCGGACCAAGGAUUUAUCGCCUUUGGAUGGACCCGCGUUGGAUUAGCUCGUUGGUAGGGUAAUAGCCUACCAAGGCGUCGAUCCAUAGCUGGUUUGAGAGGAUGAUCAGCCACACUGGGACUGAGACGCGGCCCAGACUCCUACGGGAGGCAGGAGUGGGGAAUAGUGGACAAUGGGCGAAGGCCUGAUCCAGCUAGGCCGCGUGAGUGAUGAAGGCAUGAGGGUUGUAAAGCUCUUUUACCCGGGAUGAUAAUGACAGUACCGAGAGAAUAAGCUCCGGCUAACUCCGUG
RNAcentral lists this ribosomal RNA (433 nucleotides) under uncultured bacterium. RNAcentral's name for it is "partial 16S ribosomal RNA". It matches the Rfam family "Bacterial small subunit ribosomal RNA", at positions 29 to 507 of the family's 1533-position model. The record is from RNAcentral.